UACGUAGGGGGCAAGCGUUAUCCGGAAUUAUUGGGCGUAAAGGGUACGCAGGCGGUCACAUAAGUCAGAUGUGAAAGGCAUCGGCUCAACCGGUGUAAGCAUUUGAAACUGUGUGACUUGAGUACUGGAGAGGAAAGUGGAAUUCCUAGUGUAGCGGUGAAAUGCGUAGAUAUUAGGAGGAACACCAGUGGCGAAGGCGACUUUCUGGACAGAUACUGACGCUGAGGUACGAAAGCGUGGGGAGCAAACAGG
RNAcentral lists this ribosomal RNA (252 nucleotides) under uncultured bacterium. RNAcentral describes it as "partial 16S ribosomal RNA". It matches the Rfam family "Bacterial small subunit ribosomal RNA", at positions 524 to 776 of the family's 1533-position model. The record is from RNAcentral.